GUCUGUAGACAUACUUCCCUAAAUACCCCCGAUCUUCUCUGACCUGGGAAGCUAAGCAGGCUUAGGUCCAGUUAGUACUCAGAUGAGAGAAGUUUGUUUGAGACAGGGU
This 109-nucleotide ribosomal RNA is filed under the name Microtus ochrogaster (prairie vole). Lineage: Eukaryota; Metazoa; Chordata; Mammalia; Rodentia; Cricetidae. The record is from RNAcentral.